CGGCAGGGCGGCGGCGGCCCGGGCAGUUCCGGGGAGCUCCCUCCCGCCUCUGGCAGGGAGUGGCCCCGAGCCGGCACCUGGGGCUGUGUUUUCCUGGCAGCCACCGGCAGCCACCCCUCCGAGACCGGGGAGACCACCAGUCCCCGUCCCCCGCAGCGUCUCAGCCUCCUGCGGCCUGAACUCAAUCCCCCGUGCGCGCAGCGCGCUUCUCCAGUUCUUGGCGUGAAUUAUUUACGGCGUCUGGCGGCCUCCCCGGCGGCCUCGCUCCCCUCCUCGGCCCUCAGUGUCCCCGCGGUCCUCACUUCCCGGGUUCUGAAGCCCCUCUGGCCGCUAUCCGGGCCCCGGCAGAGCUGGGGGCGGGGGCGGUCCUGGGAGCGGGGGACACUGGGCUGGGGCCCGGCUUGGGUCCCCGUUGUCCCCCUCCCCCCACGGCCCUCUGCGAUACUGGGGUGGUGAUUCCUGCACUCUGCUUCCGGGGCUGCCCAGCAGACCCAACAGGGUCACGUGCAGGAAUGACCUCUGAAUUCGGCAAAGCGCUGUUGGCACACACAAUGUCACAGCAACCCUAGCUACUAUGCCCAUUUCCCGGAUGAAGAAACUGAGGCCCGGAGGGUUUGAGUGACUCGUCCUCAGGACACCAUCACCUGCCAGGAGCUCUCAACACUUAGCCAGGCCUAAGCUGGAUGCCGAGUUGCCUGAAGGCCUUUCACAGGUGCCCAGGGAGGUGCAUGGGCACAGUUGCAUGGGUGACCAACUGCCACCGAGGCUGGCACCCCUCACCACGGAGCUGCCCACCCACCUGGCCAGGACCUGGGGAACGGAAGGAGUGAGAUCUGGAGGCGCGAAGGAGCCACAGGACCCUUUGCUGCCCCUUGGAACCAAGAUGGACCAGCAGACUUGAGACGACCAUGCACCUGGGGGACAUUGUGAAAGCAGACAGCAGCCGCUGCCACCUCCUUCUGCCCUCCUGGUCUCACGCUUUGUCUCCUGCUCCCCGCCACCGGGCAUCACCCAGGGAGAGGUAUUCUGGGGCCUGUUCCUGCAGCUUCAGUAAGCUGCACUGUCGCAGUGCACAGCUGCCCCAGGAUGGAGUGGGUCAUGGUGGUCCAGGGCCAGGCAGAAGGGCGAGGCGGCUGCGGGCUGGAGGCUGCGGGAGGUAGGAGCUGCAGCCCGGAGCGUGGUGGGAGCCAUAGCAGGUAGUGCUUCCCAGGUGGCAGAAGCAGGCUUUGGGCCUGGUUGCAGGGGGAGA
Molecule: non-coding RNA, 1249 nt
Organism: Oryctolagus cuniculus (rabbit)
Lineage: Eukaryota; Metazoa; Chordata; Mammalia; Lagomorpha; Leporidae
Source: RefSeq, a predicted model, not a curated record